This 238-nucleotide ribosomal RNA is filed under the name uncultured bacterium. Its description in RNAcentral is "partial 16S ribosomal RNA". It matches the Rfam family "Bacterial small subunit ribosomal RNA", at positions 95 to 334 of the family's 1533-position model. The record is from RNAcentral.
CCGGCGCACGGGUGAGUAACGCGUAUGCAACCUGCCUGAUACCGGGGUAUAGCCCAUGGAAACGUGGAUUAACACCCCAUAGUACUUCUAUCCUGCAUGGGAUGUGAGUUAAAUGUUCAAGGUAUCGGAUGGGCAUGCGUCCUAUUAGUUAGUUGGCGGGGUAACAGCCCACCAAGACGAUGAUAGGUAGGGGUUCUGAGAGGAAGGUCCCCCACAUUGGAACUGAGACACGGUCCAA